AACGAACGCUGGCGGCAGGCCUAACACAUGCAAGUCGAACGACAUAGUGGCAGACGGGUGAGUAACGCGUGGGAACGUACCCCAAGGUACGGAAUAGCUCCUCGAAAGGGGUGGUAAUACCGUAUGUGACCGUAAGGUGAAAGAUUUAUCGCCUUGGGAUCGGCCCGCGUUGGAUUAGCUUGUUGGUGAGGUAACGGCUCACCAAGGCGACGAUCCAUAGCUGGUUUGAGAGAAUGACCAGCCACACUGGGACUGAGACACGGCCCAGACUCCUACGGGAGGCAGCAGUGGGGAAUCUUGCACAAUGGGCGAAAGCCUGAUGCAGCCAUGCCGCGUGAAUGAUGAAGGCCUUAGGGUUGUAAAAUUCUUUCACCAGGGAAGAUAAUGACUGUACCUGGAGAAGAAGCCCCGGCUAACUUCGUGCCAGCAGCCGCGGUAA
This 439-nucleotide ribosomal RNA is filed under the name uncultured bacterium. Its description in RNAcentral is "partial 16S ribosomal RNA". It matches the Rfam family "Bacterial small subunit ribosomal RNA", at positions 29 to 523 of the family's 1533-position model. The record is from RNAcentral.